RNAcentral lists this ribosomal RNA (422 nucleotides) under uncultured archaeon. RNAcentral describes it as "partial 16S ribosomal RNA". It matches the Rfam family "Archaeal small subunit ribosomal RNA", at positions 323 to 746 of the family's 1478-position model. The record is from RNAcentral.
CUACGGGAGGCACCAGGCGAGAAAACUUUGCAAUGUGCGAAAGCACGACAAGGUUAAUCCGAGUGGUUUCUGCUAAAGGAACCUUUUGUUAGUCCUAGAAACACUGAUGAAUAAGGGGUGGGCAAGUUCUGGUGUCAGCCGCCGCGGUAAAACCAGCACCUCAAGUGGUCAGGAUGAUUAUUGGGCCUAAAGCAUCCGUAGCCGGCUUUGUAAGUUUUCGGUUAAAUCCAUACGCUCAACGUAUGGGCUGCCGGGAAUACUGCAAAGCUAGGGAGUGGGAGAGGUAGACGGUACUCGGUAGGAAGGGGUAAAAUCCUUUGAUCUAUUGAUGACCACCUGUGGCGAAGGCGGUCUACCAGAACACGUCCGACGGUGAGGGAUGAAAGCUGGGGGAGCAAACCGGAUUAGAUACCCGAGUAGUC